CAGUAGCCGCGGUAAUACGUAGGUGGCAAGCGUUGUCCGGAAUUAUUGGGCGUAAAGGGCUCGCAGGCGGUUUCUUAAGUCUGAUGUGAAAGCCCCCGGCUCAACCGGGGAGGGUCAUUGGAAACUGGGAAACUUGAGUGCAGAAGAGGAGAGUGGAAUUCCACGUGUAGCGGUGAAGUGCGUAGAGAUGUGGAGGAACACCAGUGGCGAAGGCGACUCUCUGGUCUGUAACUGACGCUGAGGAGCGAAAGCGUGGGGAGCGAACAGGAUUAGAUACCCGCGUAGUCCCUGUCUCUUAUAC
This 301-nucleotide ribosomal RNA is filed under the name uncultured bacterium. RNAcentral's name for it is "partial 16S ribosomal RNA". It matches the Rfam family "Bacterial small subunit ribosomal RNA", at positions 509 to 807 of the family's 1533-position model. The record is from RNAcentral.